Molecule: long non-coding RNA, 18413 nt
Filed under: Vitis vinifera (wine grape)
Lineage: Eukaryota; Viridiplantae; Streptophyta; Magnoliopsida; Vitales; Vitaceae
Description: long non-coding RNA (VVIN_LNC005176)
Source: RNAcentral
GUCGGCGGCCAGGCGGCCAGUAUGUUCACUCCCGGGGCUGUCACAUCGGGCUUGAUCACAUAAGGUUCUAAAAGUGCAGGGCCUCUUGAGGAGAAUGAUGCCAUCACUGGUGCUGGCUUGCCAAACACUGUCCCAUUGAAAACAAUGGAAGCAGUGGGAUUCCCCGAGCUGAUGUAGUUUCUUAUGGAUUUAGAUGCAGAGGCCCCCAGAGAACUGGCUGGCAAAACAUGUGGAUCAACCCGAAUUUCCUCACCCUGAGAUGCAGUGUUCAGUAGUAGCAUUCCAGCUCCACCUGCCUUUUCCACUUCUUGUCCCUUUUCCACCCCUCUGUUGAUGCCUCGCUCACAUACAACAAUCUUCCCUUUAACCAGAGCUGAAGAGAGUGUGCCACUACUGCAGUACUUGGCUCUUGCGCCGCCUGCAGAUUCACCAUAAACAAGCGAUAGUUGCUCAGUUGACGUUCCGGAAUAUAAUGAUUCCCCAUCAAAAGUUUCUCCGUUACCAAGAUUAACUAUGGCAGGGAAGCUUCUAUCCAUGGUGCUUGCAGCAACGGUCAUCAUCCAUGGUGCUGCAUUGACGACAGUUGAACUAGAUGGGCCUGAAUUUCCAGCAGCGGCAGCAACGAAAACUCCAUGUUGGACUGCCCCCAAGGAGGCAAUAGCCAAGACAUCAGCAUAGUAAGGCUGUGAGGAUCCUCCAAUGGAGAGUGACAAGAUAUCAACCCCAUCGGAAACAGCCUGGUCUAUUGCUGCUAAUAUAUCGGAGGAAGCACAACCACGAGCAUAGCAAGCUUUGUAUGCAGCGAUUCUUCCUGUACAGCUCAUUCCAGCGGCGACGCCCUUGGCCAUACCGAAAAUGCUAGCUCCAUCUAUCAUAUGGCCUGCUGCAGUUGAUGCAGUGUGAGUUCCAUGGCCAUGGGAGUCCCUAGCAGAUCGGAAGUCCACCGUUUCAUCUAUUUUCCCAGCUGCGGCCUCGUAGCCCUUGUAGUAGGCUCUUGCGCCUAUAAGCUUCCUGUUGCAAUUUUUAGCUGUGAAUCUUGUGCCUUCCUCGCAAACACCCUUCCAUCGAGAGGGCACCGGCCGUUUCAUGCCCGCAUCCUUGAAACUUGCGUGUUCAGGCCAGAUUCCAGAAUCGACAAAGCCGAUUAUCACAUCGUUCGCCAAGUUGCGUGAAGUCAAUAGUCCUUUUCCGAAUUGCAGGCCAAGAAACUGAGGUGAGUAGGUGGUUUGGAGACUCAGCAUUUCAUCAGGAACAGCUGACAGAAACCCCUCAACUUUGUUCAAGGUUUCCAACUGCCUAUUGGAAAGCCUUGCAGCGAAGCCAGUGAUUGCAGUUUCAUAGGUGUAAAGGAGCUCAGGGGCUGAUGCUUCUUCUACUCCAUCUUCUUCAGCUGACAAUUCUGUGAUGGAAUCCAUCACUACUUCAUACCAUUUCUUGGAAUCCCCAAGAAUAUUGUCUAAAGCUGUGGUCUUGGCCUUGUCCAUGUGAACUACAUAAAUCUCUUUGUCUUCUGAAGCAAUUGAAAUAGCAGCGGCCAUGAAAACCACCAGCAACAAUGACAAUCUGUACACCAUGAUGAUGCCUGUAUGAAAAAAAGAAAAUUUUGAUAUGAAUCCAAACAUAUAAUUUGACUGCUCAGUAAUGAAUUGUGCAGCAGACUCUCAAUCUUCAUGGGGUACUGCCAUAAAACAGUUCAUGGAUGAACAGACGAAGUAAUAACAGAUAGGGAAACUCCAACUCAAAACCUGAGAAAGCUGGAGCUCCUAUGCCAGCUCAAACUACAAGUAUUUACCACGAGUUACCCCAAAAGCUUAAAUUAUAAGAUGGGAUUAAUGAAGGAUGUAAAAUCAAAUUAAAAUUGCUAGUAGAAGUACAAACACUAGCUUUUUUUUUUUUUCUAGUGAAACUAGCAACAAGCCCACACUACUGUGCUUCUUGUGAGAGAAUUUGAACGAUGCACAAAAUAUCAGUUAGAAAAGUGAUGAGAAUUUAGAAGCCAUGAUAUCUAGAAGCUUCUUCCAAACAGUUAAACAGUCAAGCGGGCCAAGGUUUGGUUUGGUCUGAUCUCUGGCUGCCAUAGGCUUUGCCCAAUAAUUCCAAAGCUCAUUUGGAGAUCAAACCAAAGCAACCAAGGUCCAUCUUUAUGAAUAGACUGCUAGGUCAGGACCAAUGCAUGAAGAAAUAAGACCAAGAGGACAACAACAAAUGGAUCUAGGAGGUCAUCAUCGGGUACCCAUGAAGAAAUAAGACUAAGAGUGAGAGAGAGAGCCCCUCUUAUAUACCUACUUCUUUUUCUUCUCGAUCCAAAAGAGUGAGGAAUAACUAAUGCUGAGGAGAGUCUUAUAUAGCCAAAGAAAGAGACUGUCACACAACUGAACAAAACAAGAGCCCACUGUGCUCCCCUUCCACUUUCUUUCCUUUUCUAUUUUAAAAUUGGCAUGCCUUAGAAAUAAAGCUUCCUAUCCACUUUGAGAAUGAGAGACAAAUUUUAUUGUUGAGUGGAGAAUGUUUACAUGUUGAUGGUGGUGACAGUUGAUGACUUUAAUUUCCAAGUUUGCGGCUUCAAGGGCCACAAUUUUUAUAUUAUGUAUGGCACAAUGUCAUUGUAGCAUGGAAGGAAGAGAGUGUUUUGCGGAGAAAAUGCUUUGGAUAUCAUUGAUAUUACGGUUUCUUUGAGCAUUUUUAGAAAAUGUUUUUAGCAUAAAAAAAAAUAUUUUUGAAAAAAAAUAAAAGUUAUAAGAGAUUUAACAAAAUUUAAGAAACAUCUAAACAGUUCAAAAAUCACUUGUAGCUUUUCCAUUCAUCUUAAAAACGGUUUUAAAGAAAACACUUUUGAUGAUAUCAAAAUAAGACACCCCUAGGAGAAGAUACUUCAUCUUGGUAUUACAUCAAGAAAGGGGAGAAACUUACCAAAUACCUCCCACUAAGAGGUGCCCCCUCUAGCCCAUCACCUUCAAGUCAAGCCAAUCCUACGACCUGACUAUUGUUAAGGUCAUCCUGACUAUUGUUGUGUCAACAAAAGUUUUAAUACAAACAAUGUUAGUUUCAAAACAUGAAGGCAAAAUAAUCCACAUAAAAAUACAAAAAGUUUUAAUGUGGUUUUGCCAACCUUAUCUCUAUCCAUAUAUGAUAAGAAAUUAUUCCACUAUAGUAUAAAGAAUAUUAUAGAUGACAAAAACUAGAUAUAACUAUUGGGUUGUUAAAACAUCUUGAGAAAAUAAAAGUUAUGCUUAAAGGAGAAAAACACCCAAGAAAGGGGGGGGAGGGGGUGAAUUGGGUUUUUCAAUACAACAAAUUCAAGCACAAUAUAAACAAGAAAUAAAGAGAUAGAGUUAGAGAAUUCAAACUCGAAUUUUAUAGUGGUUCGACACUUCCUUGUCUACGUCCACUCUCUUAAAUCUCCUAACCGAGUGAGGGUUCCACUAGCUUGAAGCUUCAACCAAGCUUCCAAUCCUUUACACUUGGAUUUCGGCUCUAAUGAGCUCUUACGCAAUCCCUUCAAGAUUUAAACCUCUUGAAGUCUUUAACACUCAAGUUUUACAAGAAAGAAACUAUCAACCUAGCUCAAAUACAAAACAAAGUUAGGAUGACUCACAAAGGUGCACUAAAAGAUAUGCAAGUGAUGGUUUUAAUGCACUAAGAAAGAAAUGAGAGCUUUUAAGCCAAGAACAGGUAGGUAGACAAUUCAUUGCAGGUGUUCUCUAUGUCAUAAAUGAAGUGGAGUUCUCAAUUUAUAGGUUUCUAAGCUCGAGAGUCAAAAAUAGCAAAAGGCAACCUCGAACGGUCGAGCUGGGGGUCAACUGGUUCACUAGCCGUUGGAGCAUUUAAUGAUUUGGCAGGUUACCGUUGUCUUGAUCGGAGGUCUACCGGGAAGGGGUGAACCUCAAUUGGGAAAAGGAAGCUACUGGAUAAGAGAGAAUGUUUUUGGCACUCCUCGAUUGGACCUCGAUCGGGCAAGGGCAACCGGUUGAUCGGUUCCCCAACCGGUUGAGCCAGUUGGCUAGAGCCUCAAUCAGUUCAACCUUUUGGCCUCGAAAACCUAUCCUUUUCAAUUCCAUUCUUUUUUAACACUUAUGCAAGGUCUUUAGGUAAAAUAAUAUGUCAAUUUUGAAACGUUUUGCCUAAGGUACAUUUGAUAAAACUCGGGUUUUAAUGAAAUCGAAAAUUUAAAUAAUAAACCGAGUUUUCAAAAAUGUAUGAAAAGGUAUGAAAAACCUAAGUGCACCCAUGUAUUUAUCUUACAUUCGUUUCCUAUUAUCAAAAGUCUUCCAAUUGUCUCAAUCUUGUAUCCCUUUGGUUCUUCGAUGAAUUUCUGAAUUUAUACCUGAAAUUCUUAUCAUUCAAACCAAUUAGUCACUUAACCAUGGUUUAUUAUCAUCAAAAUCCGAUUGGGAGAACCCUUGGGCUAACACAUCUCAUAUUUCCCUACUCCUAAUAUCCAUAUCUUAAACCACCAAUCUCUUGUUUUAUCGAGCAUCAUUCAUUCUUCCUCACAUCUCUAUCCACCAUGCAUAAUCUUUACAAACACAUCUCUAUCUUAUAACAUUUUUCCCUUAAGACAUAAAAUAUUUAUAAAAAUAUUCCUAAUAACUUUUCUUCUUUUAUAAAAAAAAAAAUUAAUAUUACAAUCACAUGAAUACAAAAAAAAUAUUCUUUAUAAGAAAAAAUCUAUACUAUUUAGGAAUUUGAGACACUUUUCAACAAAUACUUUUAAUAAAAGUACUUUCAAAUACACUCUUAAUAAUCCUAUUAUUUAUGAGUUCUAUUGUCAUAUUCAUAUUUCUUGAUGAAUAUUUUGUAAUGUUAUUUUUCUUAAAACAAUUCAAUUAGAAAGAAAUAUAAAUUUUUUUUCUAAAAUUGCUUCUCUCAACAAAACGUUAGAGAAUUUUAUUUUAUUUUUAUUUAAGUUGAUUGAAUAAAAUAGUUGUAAGUAAAAUACUUUUAAAAAAAUUUAAAAAUCAUUUAUAUUGCUUGUUGAAGAUGUCUUUUUAAAAAAAAUAUGUAUUUCAAUUAAAAACACUCCCAAUAAAAAUACAGGUUAAUUUCAUUCAUAUCCUUUUAAGGUUUUGACUAAUACAUUUAACUUUCAUAGGUCUAAGAUUUCAUCAUUCUCUUCCCUUACUUUGAAUGAGAGAAGAAAUAAGUGAAAAUAAGAAAUGAAAAAGAUAAAUGCAAUAUUUGAUGAAAUUUCAGAUCUAUAAAGAAUAAAUGUAUUUAAUCGAAAUCCGAGAGAGGUAAAUGAAAUUAACCUUAAAAAUACUUAAAUGCACUCUUAAUCAUUAUGUUGUUUGUGAGCUUAGAAAACACCAAAGAAAGCCUUUUUUCCUCAAGUCAAUCGAUAGCAAUAGCAUAUAUAUAUAUAUAUAUGACUGGGAUCUCAUGUGGGACUUUCUCUCUCAGCAAAUGAGAAGGCAAGAAAUGAAAAGGCAAGAAGACCCAUUACUUCUUCCAGAUUCACCUUUGCUUAGUGGGAACUUGUUAGUGGUUAAUUACAAGGAUAAAAAAUUCCCCAUGGUAGCCAUUAGAAGAUUCAUAUGAUUUCCCACUUUUGUAGUGUUAAAGCCCAGUGAGUUUUUUCUUAGUCACCAAACACUAACCAAUUGGAUCGCCAGGCGGUCACCAAUCCCAUUUUUUCCGUACUAAGUCUCAUCCUGUAUGAUUUAUCUUCACAAAAAUGCUAAUGAAUUCAAAAGCUUGAAUCAUUUUUCCCUUGAGAAAUAAAGUAUUUGAUGAAAAAUAUAAAUAAAGUAUUUGAUGAAAUUUCAGAUCUAUAGAGAAUAAAUGUAUUUAAUCGAAAUCCGAGAAAGGUAAAUGAAAUUAACCUUAAAAAUACUCAAAUGCACUCUUAAUCGUUAUGUUGUUUGUGAGCUUAGAAAACACUAAAGAAAGCCUUUUUUCCUCAAGUCAAUCGAUAGCAAUAGCAUUUUGAUGAUAACAAACCUUGAUUAUCUAGGAGAAAAAGAAAUCUCCCCCUCAAACCAAUCAUGGAUCAAUUGAUUCAAAAUUUAUGAAUUUAAAACCAAGAUAAUCAGAACAUACUAAUUUUCAAUAGAAAACAAUGUAAAUCAUGAAAGUAGCAUAUCAUAUAUAGUAAAGUCAAAUGUACACGAAACAUCCAAACAGAUGAUAUGAUAAUGAUAUGCAUACAUAGGUCUCCUUGAUCCUAAAUAUCUCUCACCCUUUGGCAACAUAAAAAAAAUGACAAAAAGGGGGUCUCGAUGAAAUCAAGGUUGAGGAGGUGGAGAUGGAAACAAUGAGCAUUGGUAAACCAUCAUCUCCUCAUGCUGACUUUCCUGACGACUCUCAAUGCACUCAAUCCUAUGUUGAAAAUGCUCAAAUGUAGUCUGCUGUUGAUCCAUAUAAUCCUCUAUACGCUCAAAUCUCUGUUGCAGAUGCUCAAACUAAGAGGUGAAGCUAGUCUGAUACUAAUCAAUGCAAUCCUUCAUAGAAUAGAAUCGAGUAUCACUGACUAUUGCGAGCUCCUCCAUGCGAGUCCCAAGUGAGUUGAUCUGAGCUGAUAAAUCCAUCCAAUGUGCAUGAUUAGGAGCAUGAGGUGCCUGAUGAGGUGAUAACUCGGUGUGAGGAGGCUCAAUGAAUGAUGGCUGAGAAGAUGGUCUCGUUGUGUAAGCCGGCUCAGACAUCAUCGACUCAGGAAAUAGUGCCUCAAACUAAACACCCUCAUACUGGAGUGAAGGGAUGUCAAGCUCGAGCUCUCUCUACUCAAAGCCUCUUAGAAGGUCUAACCCACCCUCCAUCUCUCAGAUCUCGGCCUCAUCUUCUACUCCGGGAUGUACUUGCCCCUGUCCUUUGGCCUGUGCUGGUGGUCGCUCAACUCUCCCAAUCCAGGAGCCAUCGGGGGCCUUAUCAAACUUCAUCUGCCCCAAGGACUGCUCAUCGUAUGUAUCAUAAAUGCCAGGGCCCUCGAAGUCUGUCUCUCUGCUCAAAUCAACCCCGACAUCCUUGAAUACUCUAGUAAGGAAGCGGCCGUAGGGGAGUACUCGGGUUGUGCUCUCGCAACAUGAUAUCAUGUGCAUCAUCAUCAGAUACCCCACAUGAAUUCGUCUCCUCGUCAGAAUCGAGUCUAUGAGGAAUGGCUCAAGGUGAGAGAUCUCAUCUUGGUGUCCGCUUCGUGGCAAUAAGAUGGAGCAGAUCAUGUGAUGAAAGACUCGGUUGAUCACGGUCAGGCUAUGUGCUAAUGGUUUGCCCAUCCCUUGGGCAUCUGCAAGGCCACACAUCCUUUGAAUAACCUCUCUAGGCUUGAAACCCAGCGCAAUGGGCCAAGCCUUAGACUCACACACCCUGAGUCCAAUCGAAGAAAUGUUGAAAAUAUGGCAAAUGCUCUCCGAGUCCAACUGGAUCUCAACACCUAUAACGAUGGAAAUGAUCGGUCCUCCAAGUCCAUAGGUCACUCGUGAAUAGAAUGCACUCACCAGAGUCGGGAAAAUCGGCUCGAAAAUAGUCAUUACUGGCAACCAUCCCAUCCGUCCAAAAAGUCCCUUAAACCCGAAAUACUGAAGUUAGGAGAAAUCGACACUUCUCCUUGAAACUACUUUCCUCUGAGCAAACUUCUGCUUGUACCUCUGAUAAUCCUCUACGAAACUAAAGAGGGUCGUGUCAUACCUCGCCUUUUGGCGAGUCUCCGUUUGAGCAGGCUAAGAUGGCUUAACGAGCGCUUGCUCUGAGCCCUAGAGGCUGUCGUCUCUCUUCUAGGAGCCAUAAAAAGAACAAAAAAGAAUGAGAUGAGACUGGUAGAGAAGGAACCAACCACAACGAAGAGAAAACAAACCCGAACAAAAGCCCUAGGCACGCGGGAACAGAGCUAAAACGGGCUAUGAUGUGCGUUGAAUGAGGAGUCGUCUCAAAAUGAAGCCCUAGGUCCCAAAAAUCAAACCGAAACUCCUUGAAAAUGCUGCAAUGCAGUCAAAAAUCUCUUCUAGGGCAACUGAAACGGCACAACCCUUGAAGAACCAGAGAAAAUAGGUGAAAAAUGAGGCGUGGGAGGGGUAUUUAAAACGAUACCCCGACGAACUGGUUGAUCGGUCUUGAUCCGAUCGACCGUCUGGUCAACAGUCAAUGUAGUCAACGCUUCAAUUUUUGUGCAUUUUCUCGUCUCGUGAUCCUUCCCCUGCCCUUUUUAGUUGAAAUCCCCAAUUUUUUAUGUCCAAUACCAAGGGAAUUUUGAUUUUUGGUCAAAAUUUAACCAUUUUCCUAAGUAUAUGUCUAUAUGAUGCAUAUGAUAUGAAAUUCAUACAAUCAUAAGGUAUAUUAAUCAAGAAUUCAUCAAGCAAUCAUUUGAUCAUAAAGAAAUCACCCUUAGUUGUCUUCUAAUAUCAACAAAUUGUUCUUCACUUAGAGGUUUCGUAAAUAUAUCGGCAAAUUGAUAUUUUGUGCUUACAAAUUCAAGUGUAAUGUCACUCUUUUGUGCAUGGUCUCUAAGAAAAUGAUCUCUAAUUUCUAUAUGCUUAGUCCUAGAGUGUUGCACAGGAUUUUUUGAAAUAUUUAUGACACUUGUGUUAUCACAUUUAAUAGGAACAUGCUCAAAAGACAAAUUGAAAUCACUAAGUGUUUGUUUCAUCCAAAGAAUUUGUGCACAACAUAAACCAACUGUUGUGUAUUCGGCUUCUGCCAUUGACAAAGCUACUGAAUUUUGUUUCUUACUAUGCCAUGAAACAAGUGAGUGUCCUAGGAAAUGACAAAUGCUACUAGUGUUUUUUCUUUCAACUUUACAAGCGAUAAAAUCAACAUCCGAGAAUCCAAUUAAUUCAAAGUUAUCAUCCUUAGGAUACCAUAAGCCUAUGUCCAUUGUCUCUUUCAAAUAUCUAAGGAUUCGUUUUAUGGCACUUAAGUGAAAUUCUUUAGGACAAGAUUGAAAUCUAGCACACAAGCAUACACUAUACAUGAUGUCAGGUCUACUAGCGGUCAAAUAUAGCAAAGAACCUAUUAUGCCUCUAUACAUAGUUGAGUAAAUGAAAUUACUUUUCUCAUCCUGAUCAAGCUUGAUGGAUGAACUCAUUGGAGUCUUCAUUGUUUUGGUUUCUUCCAUGUUGAACCUUUUGAGAAGAUCUCUUAUAUAUUUUGCUUGAUUGAUGAAGGUUCCUUCUUUUAGUUGUUUGAUUUGAAGUCCAAGGAAGAAGUUGAGUUCUCCCAUCAUGCUCAUUUCAAACUCACUAUGCAUGCACUUAGAAAAUUCUUCACAAAGAGAGACAUUAGUAGCUCCAAAAAUAGCAUCAUCAACAUAUAUUUAAACUAAGAGCAUGUCAUUUUCUUUGGUCUUUAUGAAAAGAGUUGUGUCAAUUUUUCCCAUUUUAAAAGCCCUUUUCAAAAGAAAUUUACUCAAUCUUUCAUACCAUGCUCUAGGUGCUUGUUUCAAACCAUAAAAUGUCUUUUUAAGUUUAAAAACAUGGUUAGGAAAAUUAAAACUUUGAAAAUCGAGUGGUUGUUCAACAUAUACUUCUUCAUUUAUAAAGUCAUUUAAGAAAGCAUUUUUCACAUCCAUUUGAUAUAAAACAAAGUUUUUAAAACAUACAAAGGCAAGUAGCAUCCUAAUGGCUUCCAAUCUAGCUACAAGGGCAAAAGUUUCUUCAUAAUAUAUCCCUUCUUCUUGAUUAAAACCUUGGGCUACCAAUCUUGCUUUAUUUCUAACAAUUAUGCAAUUUUCAUCCAUUUUAUUUAUAAAGACCCAUCUAGUUCCAAUAACACUUUGAUUUGAAGGUCUUGACACUAAUUCCCAUACUUCACUUCUUUCAAAUUGAUUUAACUCUUCUUGCAUAGCAAUCAUCCAAUUUUCAUCAACUAGAACAUCAUUUAUAUUUUUAGGUUCAAUUUGAGAGAUAAAAGCAAAAUUAUUGCAAAUAUUUUUAAGAGAUGAUCUAGUUCUUACCUCACUAGAUGGAUUACCUAUAAUUUGAUCUUGUGGGUGGUUGAUGACAAAUUUCCAAUCUUUAGGAAGGUCUUGGCUUGAUUCACCUUGCACUUGUUGAGAAGGGGGUAGUGCCAAUGAUGAUUCUUCUUUCUUAGGAUCCUCUCCAAUUUCUUCUUAUUGUUUUCUAUUUUCAAUUUGUAAUUUUCCCAUGGAGGUCUUCAAGCCUAAAUCAUCAUCAAAACUCUUUCUUUGUUGGAGAGAAUUGUUAGAUUAAUAAAAAAUAACAUGGAUGGACUCCUUUACAACCAUGGUUCUUUUGUUAAAAACUCUAAAGGCUUUACUUAAAGUUGAGUAACCAAGAAAAAUUCCAACAUCUGAUUUUGCAUCAAAUUUUCCAAGAUUGUCUUUGGUAUUUAAUAUAAAACAUUUGCACCUAAAGACUUUGAAAUAACUAAUGUUGGGUUUCUUGUUUUUCCAAAGCUCAUAGGGAGUUUUCUUAAGAAUAGGUCUCAAUAAUAUUCUAUUUAAAACGUAACAAGAAAUGCUAAUUGCUUCGGCCCAAAAAUAUUUUGGUAAAUUGUUAUCAUUUAGCAUGGUUCUAGCCAUUUCUUGAAGAGUUCUAUUUUUCCUUUCAACUAACCCAUUUUGUUGAGGAGUUCCAAGAGCCGGAAAAUUGUGGUUAAUACCUUGUAAGUAAUUCUUUCCCAUGAUCACUUCUUAUGUAAGUAAUUGUAAAACCUUUUUGAUUUUGAACCUUAUUGCAAAACUUUGAAAACUCAUAAAAUGUUUCAUUCUUUUGACUUAAAAACAAGACCCAAGUGUAUCUAGAGAAGUCAUCCACAAUAACAUAUGCGUAAGAUUUUCCUCCAAGGCUUGGUGUCCUAGAGGGACCAAAUAAGUCCAUAUGCAACAACUCAAGAGGCCUAGUUGUUGAAAUGGAAAUUUUGUUUUUAAAAGAGUUUUUGAUUUGUUUUCCCAUUUGACAAGCUUCACAAACUUUGUCUUUUUGAAAAUUUAUUUUGAGAAGGCCUCUAACAAGUUCAUCUUUUUUGAGUUGGGAAAUGAGGUGCAUGUUAGCAUGUCCCAACCUCCUAUGCCACAACCAACUUUGAUCAUGCAUGCUUGAAAGUAUCUAUCAUGACCAUCAUAUUUUGAAAUAUUUAUAGCAUAAACAUUAUCACAUCUAUGACCCAUGAAGAUGGUUUUAUCAUUUUGAAUAUCUUUGAUGAUGCAAUGAAAUACUUUAAAAAUCACUUUAAAACCUUUGUCACAAAGUUGACUAAUACUUAAAAGAUUAUGUUUUAAACCAUCCACUAAUAAAACGCUUUCAAUAAGAAAUGAUGUGUCAUUACCAAUGUUGCCUUGACCAAUGAUCCUUCCUUUUGCAUUGUCUUCAAAGGUAAACGUAUCCUCUCUUUCUCUUUGUAAGGAAAGCAAACUUGGAUUCAUCCCCGGUCAUGUGUCUUGAGCAUCCACUAUUCAAGAACCACUUAUCCUUGUUUGAACCCUCAUCAAGUUCAUCUAUUGUCAUGAAGCACAUGUUUGCCACUUCUUUCUCCUUUUCUUCUUCAGAUGAUUUUUCACUUUCACUCCAAGUGGCCAUCAUUGCCUUUUUCAUUAUUCUCUUGGCUUCACUUUUGUAAAGAGGACAAUCAUAUUUGAUGUGUCCCGAAUUUUUGCAUUUGAAGCACACAAAAUCUCUUUUCUCUUCUCAUUUCUCCUUGUCACCAUGAGAUGAGGAUUCCUUUUUAGAAAGGUCUCUUCUAGAGGUGAACUUUUUUCCUCUAAAUCUUUCACUUCUCAUGUAUUUGUUAAGCUUUCUUGUGAUGAGGGCUAAAUCAUCAUCUUUCUCACUUGGUUUUUCUUCUUCAACAUCUUUUUCUUCAUUGGUUGUAGCUUUGAGAGCUAUGCUCUUCUUCUUUUUGUCUUCACCCCCUUGUAGCUUUUUUGCCAAGUUAAUCUCAUAUGUCAUCAAUGACCUUAUGAGCUCUUCCAUAGGUAGCUUGGUCAAGUCUUUUGCUUCUUGAAUUGAGGUGACCUUAGUAUGCCACUUUGAUGGGAGUGACCUCAAUAUCUUCAUCACUUUCUCGGAUUCCUUGUAGGUUUUUCCCAAAGCUUCAAGACCAUUGACAAUGUUAGUGAACCUAGUGAUCAUCUCAACAAUAGUCUCAUUUUCUUUCAUUGACAACAAUUCAUAGUUAUGAACAAGUAAAUUAAUUUUUGACUCUUUCACUUGAUUUAUUCCUUCAUGAGUUAUCUCAAGUAAUCUCCAAAUUUCUUUAGUCGAUUUGCAUUGACAUAUUCUAUUAUAUUCAUUUCUAUCUAUAGCACAUUGCAAAGUAAAAACAACCUUAGCAUUUAAUUGAAAAUUUCUUCUAUCAAGCUCAUUCCAUUCUUGCUUGGGUUUUGGAACCAAGACUUCAUCAAUUAGUUUAGUAGGAAAAGUUGGGUCAUCUUCAAUGAUGUCUCAUAUGUCUAAAUCGGUUGAUUGUAAAUACCAAGUUAUUCUAGUUUUCCAAUAGGGAUAGUCGUUUCCCGUAAAAAAAAUGGAGUUCUAUGUUUUGUAAAAUUUUCAAUUUGAGAUGAGCUUGAUAGAAUGACCAUUUCCUCUUAGAUGAUUAAGUCUUAAACAAGAGGUCUAACUCUGAUACCAAUUGAGAAAAUAAAAGUUAUGCUUAAAGGAGAAAAACACCUAAGAGAGGGGAGGGGAGGGGGGAGGAGGGUGAAUUGGGUUUUUCAAAAACUUUUUCAAUACAGCAAAUUCAAGCACAAUAUAAACAAGAAAUAAAGAGAUAGAGUUAGAGAAUUCAAACUCGAAUUUUAUAGUGGUUCGACACUUCCUUGCCUAUAACCACUCUCCUCAAUCUCCUAACCGAGUGAAGGUUCCACUAGCUUGAAGCUUCAACCAAGCUUCCAAUCCUUUACACUUGGAUUCCGGCUCCAAUGGGCUCUUACACAAUCCCUUCAAGAUUCAAACCUCUUGAAGUCUUUAACACUCAAGUUUUACAAGAAAGAAACCCUCAACCUAGCUCAAAUACAAAACAAAGUUAGGAUGACUCACAAAGGUGCACUAAAAGAUAUGCAAGUGAUGGUUUUAAUGCACUAAGAAAGAAAUGAGAACUUUUAAGCCAAGAACAUGUAGGUAGACAAUUGAUUGCAGGUGUUCUCUAUGUCGUAAAUGAAGUGGAGUUCUCAAUUUAUAGGUUUCUAACCUCGACCAGUUGAGCUGGAGGUUGACUGGUUCACUAGCCAUUGGAGCAUUUAAUGCUUUAGCAGGUUACCAUUGCCUCGACCGAAGGUCGAACGAGAAGGGGUGAACCUCAACCGGGAAGAGGAAACUACUGGAUGAGAGAGAGUGUUUUUGGCACUCCUUGACUAGACCUCGACCAGACAAGGGCAACCGGUCAACUAGUUCCCCAACCGGUUGAGCCGGUUGGCCAAAGCCUCGACUAGUUCAGCCUUUUGACCCUGAAAACCUAUCAUUUUCAAUUCCUUUCUUUUUUAACACUUAUGCAAGGUCUUUAGGUAAAAUAAUAUAUCAAUUUUGAAACGUUUUGCCUAAGGUACAUUUGAUAAAACUCGGGUUUUAAUGAAAUCAAAAUUUUAAAUAAUAAACCGAGUUUUCAAAGAUGUAUGAAAAGGUAUGAAAAACCUAAGUGCACCCAUGCAGUGCACCCAUGCAUUCAUCUUACAUUCGUUUUCUAUUAUCAAAAAUCUUUCAAUUGUCUCAAUCUUGUAUCUCUUUAGUCCUUUGAUGAAUUUUUGAAUUUUAUACCUAAAAUUCUUUAUCAUUCAAACCAAUUAGUCACUUAACCAUGAUUUAUUAUCAUUAAAAUCCGAUUGGGAGAACCUUUGGGCUAACACAUCUCAUAUUUCCUUAUUCCUAAUAUCCAUAUCUUAAACCACCAAUCUCUUGUUUUAUCGAGCAUCGUUCAUUCUUUCUCACAUCUCUAUCCACCAUGCAUAAUCUUUACAAACACAUCUCUAUCUCAUAACAUUUUUCCCUUAAGAGUUAAAAUAUUUAUAAAAAUAUUCCUAAUAACUUUUCUUAUUUUAUAAAAAAAAAAUUAAUAUUACAAUCACAUGAAUACAAAAAAAAUAUUCUUUAUAAGAAAAAAUCUAUACUAUUUAGGAAUUUGAGACACUUUUCAACAAAUACUUUUAAUAAAAAUACUUUCAAAUACACUCUUAAUAAUCCUAUUAUUUGAGUUCUAUUGUCAUAUUCAUAUUUCUUUAUGAAUAUUUUGUAAUGUUAUUUUUCUUAAAACAAUUCAAUUAGAAAGAAAUAGAAUUUUUUUCUAAAAUUGCUUCUCUCAACAAAACAUUAGAGAAUUUUAUUUUAUUUUUAUUUAAGUUGAUUGAAUAAAAUAGUUGUAUGUAAAAUACUUUUAAAAAUCAUUUAUAUUGCUUAUUGAAGAUGUCUUUUUUAAAAAAAAUAUGUAUUUCAAUUAAAAACACUCCCAAUAAAAAUACAGGUUAAUUUCAUUCACAUCCUUUUAAGGUUUUGACUAAUACAUUUAACUUUCAUAGGUCUGAGAUUUCAUUAUUCUCUUCCCUUAUUUUGAAUGAGAGAAGAAAUAAGUGAAAAUAAGAAAUGAAAAAGAUAAAUGCAAUAUUUGAUGAAAUUUCAGAUCUAUAAAAAAUAAAUGUAUUUAAUCGAAAUCCGAGAGAAGUAAAUGAAAUUAACCUUAAAAAUACUUAAAUGCACUCUUAAUCAUUAUGUUGUUUGUGAGCUUAGAAAACACUAAAGAAAGCCUUUUUUCCUCAAGUCAAUCGAUAGCGAUAGCAUAUAUAUAUAUAUGACUGGGAUCCCAUGUGGGACUUCUUCUCUCAGCAAAUGAGAAGGCAAGAGACCCAUUACUUCUUCCAGAUUCACCUUUGCUUAGUGGGAACUUGUUAGUGGUUAAUUAUAAGGAUAAAAAAUUCCCCAUGGUAGCCAUUAGAAGAUUCAUAUGAUUUCCCACUUUUGUAGUGCUAAAGCCCAGUGAGUUUUUUCUUGGUCACCAAACACUAACCAAUUGGAUAGCCAGACGGUCACCAAUCCCAUUUUUUCCGUACCGAGUCUCAUUCUGUAUGAUUUAUCUUCACAAAAAUGGUAAUGAAUUAAAAAACUUGAAUCAUUUUUCCCCUGAGAAAUGGCAGCCAGUAGAAAAGAGGAGUCACAUCCAUGCCUUGUGAGUUUUUUCUUGGUCACCAAACACUAUCCAAUUGGCAUGGAUAGCCAGACGGUCACCAAUCCCAAUUUUUUCCGUAGUGAGUCUCAUUCUUUAUGAUUUAUCUUCACAAAAAUGCUACUGAAUUCAAAAGCUUGAAUCAUUUUUCCCCUGAGAAAUGGCAGCAAGUAGAGAAGAGGAGUCACAUCCAUGCCUUGUGUUUCAUGCCAUUUUUUUGCUCACCAAUUGUGCUGGGUUUUGUUGCUGAACAAAAUCUAAUGACGGCUCAUUGGGGCCUACGGCCGACCCAUGCUCAUGGGCUUUUUAUUUGUGGUCAUGUGUCCCUGCUUUCGAAGUCUUCCACUUACCACUGCUCUAAGGAUAGCCACUCCUUGCCAUUAAUUGGCAUAUAAUGACGUGAAGGUAUUUGACUAUGCUUCUACAAGAAUAAUAAAUAAUUAAACUAAAAAAGAAAAAAAAAAUUUAAAAGCCCUUGGAGGAUAUAAACAUGCCUCGAAAAGAGAUUUGGGCAUCAUUGGAGAUAAUUUAUAAUUUUUUACUUCAUCUAGAAGCUAGAAUUAUUGAAGUGGAGAUUUUUAAAUGAUAAUAUUCGUAUUAUAAAAGUUAAUUUUUUAUGGAGUUAAAUUCUUAAAAAAAAUUAAGAAAAAAGAAAAUAUAAUACAAUUAAAAUUACAUAUGCAUUUUUAUAUUUUUAAAUUAUUUAAUUUUUAUAUAAAAAGAGUUAAAAUAAGUGAAAUAAAUUUGAUAUUAUAUCAAAAUAAUUUAUUAAAUUUAAUUUUGUUUUAAUUUUUCUAUUUUUUUCUCUUUUCUUUCACUUUACCUCUAUAUUUUCUUUCUCUCAUAUUUUCCCCACAUUUUCAAGGAACCAAAUAUAACAAAUGAAAAUUUAAAUAUAAUACAAAAUUGGUUAAAAAGAUUGCAACAAACUCAAUGGAGGGGAAGGGGGAGGGGAUUUAAUGACAUAUUAAUUUUAACAUAAAAUUCUAAGGCCAUUCUUGAAAUAAUCGAGGAAAAAUGUAAGAUAAAGAAAAUAAAAAGAAAAAAUAGAAAUAAAUAAAAAAUGUUAAAAAAUAAAUAAAACGCUUAUUUACUUAUUUUUAUGAAGAUUAAAUAAUUUAAAAUUCAAAAAUUUAUAAGUUUCUAAUUAUGUUAUUUCAUGCCAUUCCAACCACUUUAUAUUUAUUGUUAUUGGUGAUACCAAAAAAUAGACACAUGCCACUAGGGUACUCCUAGAUGGAGGUAGCUCAUUUCAACCCCACACCAAGAAAGAAGACAUCCUCCAUGUACCACCCACUAAAGGGUGCCUCCCUAAGUUAUCACCUAAUUGAUGGUAUGGUCUUGCUAACAAAAUUGCAUUUCUUUAUUUAAAAUUAAGUCAAAAAGUUUGCAAACAUCGUCAUGACUGAUAAAAAAAAGUCCACACACUAUUACUAUAUAAAAGGCAAACAAGCCUAUUAUUAUAAUGGACAUGAUGAAAUGCAAUUCUUAUAAGAAAAAUCACUUCCGGUUAUGAUAAGGUAUUUAAAUACAAUAAAUAUUGCAUGUCUUGACCCACCGAUGUGGGAUUGGUUAAAGGUAUUUGUAUACUAAAGAUUAAAAGUUGUGCAAUGGGGGGAACUGAGCAGGGAUCUCCUGGUGUAAAAUUGAGUUCUCGAUUACUAAGCUAUACUACAAUUUUUGUUAAUAUUCAAUAAAAUAUAUAAAAAUAUGUUAUGGUUUCAAUUUUUAAUCCUCUACAAUCAUUAUUAUUAAAUGAUAAUUAUGAGAUACACAUAUAAAUAAAAUUAAAUAUUAUAAUUUUUAUUUCAUCUUAAAUAUUAAUAAAAUUUAAAAUAUUGAUACAAUUACAUUUAUCUUUAUGAUGUAAUUUGAUAUAUCAAAUAUAUAAAAAAUAAAAUAUUAUUAAAAUUUUUAAUUAAAUAUUUUUAAUUCCUUAUAAUUAUUUUUAAUUUUAUACCAUAUAUGAAUUAUAUAUUUACGAUAUCACUAGUUCGAUCAUUCAACUGUCAAUUAGUAAUUUAAUGAACAAGCCGAUUCUAACUCAUGAGAAGUAUAUUGAAUGUUUUUUUUCAAAAAAAAAAUUGAAAUUAAACUUUACCGUAUAAAAUAAAAUAAAAUUAGAAUUCUAAAUAAAAACUCCAUUUAAUUAAUUUUAUUAUUGUAAUUAAAAUUGUUCGUACUGAAUUCACAUUAAAUUGGUUGUAAUUGUUAAGCAAUAAGUCUGAAAUUUAGGAAACACAGCUUAAUAUAUAUAAAAUUUGCAUUACAUAUUUCCAAGUUACAACACGCUUGCAUAGUAUAUAAAGACACAAGACCUACUUCUUCUUGCCCUGGAUCAUGUUCUUAUUUUCUUAGAACAGUCAUCCACUGAUAAUUAUUCAUUAUAAUAUAGUAAUAGCUAGACUCAGGUUCAUGGUAGGUCUUCCGCCUAAAACCUACUGCCAAGUCACUGCAAUAGGACUUCUAACUGAAUACCUGCUGGACCCCCAAACAAGAGAUCCAAAAGAUGUACCUGAUGAACUUGAUUUCUGUCCCAAUUGAACAAAACUCACCGUGUAGCUCAAUUUCUGGCCGUUCUGUUUGAACUUUAAAACCUUAGGCUCAACGAUGACUGAUACUCCUUCAGGCUCAUGGGCCUGCACCACAUAAGUAGUAGUAGCGUACCCAACAUUUGUUACAGUUCUUUUGUAUGUGGCGCUGUUGUUGUGGGAAUUUCCAUCGAAAAGUACUGCAAAUGAAGGGUAGUUCAAGUCACCCGUUUGAAGAUCUGUGUCUGUGGGGCAACUGAAGUUCCCCCUUGAUAUUGUAGCCAUCUGAGAAGAUGAAUACUUGAGGCUACACAGAUAGUAGAGAUAGUCCUCAUAGCUGAUAUCAUAAACCAGCCCCGGAUUAGAGGCUCUCUCAGGAUCCACAUGGCCUGAACCAUAGGCAAAUGGGGUGGCUGUUGGGCUCUCCGAACCGGUAUCUGAGAUGGGAGCCUUCUUGUUGUCUAGAGUAUAAGCGGAUGUCAUUAGGGCUGACUUGAUGGCCGCAGGUGACCAGUCUUGGUGGGCUCCUUUGAUGAUUGCAGCUAAGCCACUAACGUGAGGACAAGAUAUGGAUGUUCCUGAAAUUACAUUAAAUAGUACACUUCUGUUGUCGCUUUUGGUCUUGCUUGGGCUGACUGUCGGCGGCCAGGCGGCCAGUAUGUUCACGCCCGGGGCUGUCACAUCGGGCUUGAUCACAUAAGGUUCUGUGUGUGCAGGGCCCCUUGAGGAGAAUGAUGCUAUUACAGGUGCCUGGUUGCCGAACGUUGUCCCAUUGAAAACAAUGGAAGCAGUGGGAUUCUCCGAACUGAUAUAGUUUCUUAUGGAUUUAGCUGCUGAGGCCCCCAGAGA